This 363-nucleotide ribosomal RNA is filed under the name Triticum aestivum (bread wheat). Its description in RNAcentral is "partial small subunit ribosomal RNA". The record is from RNAcentral. Lineage: Eukaryota; Viridiplantae; Streptophyta; Magnoliopsida; Poales; Poaceae.
AUGAACUAUUACCGUAUGAUAGUUUUCCGCACUUUGGUUAAGAACUGUGCUCUCUUUGACAUCAGUUACACUGGUCCUGCUUAUACUUGGCACAAUAGACAACAUACUCUUAAUCCUAUUUGUCAAUGUUUGGACCGUUGCCUUAUUAAUUCUGGUUGGUGCGUUGUCUACCCUAACACGAAAGUGCUCAAUUUGCCCAUUAUUUUGAGUGAUCGUGCUCCUAUUCUAAUCUCUACUGAUGGGCAGUUUCCUCGGCCGAAACAACCGUUUAAGUUUGGGAAUUGGUGGCUAAUGGAGAGUGAUUUUCAGGAUCAUGCCAAAGCAGCUUGGAAUAUCAACAAAAAUGCACCGUUUUUCUAUUAG